This 240-nucleotide long non-coding RNA is filed under the name Helianthus annuus (common sunflower). Its description in RNAcentral is "hypothetical non coding rna". Lineage: Eukaryota; Viridiplantae; Streptophyta; Magnoliopsida; Asterales; Asteraceae. The record is from RNAcentral.
CGCCACCAGGCCGUAGCUUACGGCCCCUAUAACCCACAAGAAGAAUGCACCGUAAAACAGGAGCACAAGGGCGUAUGGAACAACUGCUCACCGUAAGUGGCCGUAGCUUACGGCGCCGAUCGAGCCAAAAAUGUAACUGACACAUUAAAGAGCAUUUUGAAGACACUUAUUGAUGGCUAAUCAUGCUAGGUCGGUUACCACUUGAGGAAAACGAGUGGGGGACUAUUUAGGAGGCACUUG